CUGUACUCAGCAGCAGGUAUGCUAAAUUGGAAUAAUACAGAAAAGAUGAGCACGGUUCCUGUGCAAGGAUGGCAAUGCAAAUUUGAGGAAAAAUAUGGAAAUGA
Molecule: small nuclear RNA, 104 nt
Organism: Sarcophilus harrisii (Tasmanian devil)
Lineage: Eukaryota; Metazoa; Chordata; Mammalia; Dasyuromorphia; Dasyuridae
Source: Ensembl